Molecule: ribosomal RNA, 253 nt
Filed under: uncultured bacterium
Lineage: Bacteria
Description: partial 16S ribosomal RNA
Rfam family: Bacterial small subunit ribosomal RNA
Source: RNAcentral
UACGUAGGGUCCGAGCGUUGUCCGGAAUUAUUGGGCGUAAAGGGCUCGUAGGCGGUUAGUCGCGUCGGGAGUGAAAACUCAGGGCUCAACCCUGAGCGUGCUUCCGAUACGGGCUGACUAGAGGUAUGCAGGGGAGAACGGAAUUCCUGGUGUAGCGGUGGAAUGCGCAGAUAUCAGGAGGAACACCGGUGGCGAAGGCGGUUCUCUGGGCCGAUACUGACGCUGAGGAGCGAAAGCGUGGGGAGCAAACAGG